UAGGAACAGAUGCUAAUACCGGAUAACAACACUAGACGCAUGUCUAGAGUUUAAAAGAAUGGUUCUGCUAUCACUCUUGGAUGGGACCUGCGGUGCAUUAGCUAGUUGGUAAGGGCAACGGGCUUACCAAGGCAAUGAUGCAUAGCCGAGUUGAGAGACUGAUCGGCCACAUUGGGACUGAGACACGGCCCAAACUCCUACGGGAGGCAGCAGUAGGGGAAUCUUCCACAAUGGACGCAAGUCUGAUGGAGCAACGCCGCGUGAGUGAAGAAGGGUUUCGGCUCGUAAAGCUCUGUUGGUAGUGAAGAAAGAUAGAGGUAGUAACUGACCUUUAUUUGACGGUAAUUACUUAGAAAAGUCACGGGCUAACUACGUGCCCAGCAGCCGCGGGUAAAUA
Molecule: ribosomal RNA, 397 nt
Filed under: uncultured Lactobacillus sp.
Lineage: Bacteria; Bacillati; Bacillota; Bacilli; Lactobacillales; Lactobacillaceae
Description: bacterial SSU rRNA
Rfam family: Bacterial small subunit ribosomal RNA
Source: RNAcentral